RNAcentral lists this unclassified non-coding RNA (227 nucleotides) under uncultured fungus. RNAcentral describes it as "sequence contains ITS1, 5.8S rRNA gene". The stretch from base 179 to 227 matches the Rfam family "5.8S ribosomal RNA", at positions 1 to 49 of the family's 154-position model. The record is from RNAcentral. Lineage: Eukaryota; Fungi.
UCUCCGUUGGUGAACCAGCGGAGGGAUCAUUACUGAGUGAGGGUUUAACCGCCCGACCUCCAACCCUUUGUGAAUCGUACUCGUUGCUUCGGGGGCGACCCUGCCUUUCGGCGCGGCGCCCCCGGAGCCCAUCAAACCCUGCGUAACUAAGUCGUCGGAGUUUAAACAAAUUAAACAAAACUUUCAACAACGGAUCUCUUGGUUCUGGCAUCGAUGAAGAACGCAGC